RNAcentral lists this long non-coding RNA (710 nucleotides) under Homo sapiens (human). RNAcentral describes it as "non-protein coding LINC01836:10". The record is from RNAcentral. Lineage: Eukaryota; Metazoa; Chordata; Mammalia; Primates; Hominidae.
CCUGGACCCGGCGAGAAAUCGAAGGUCCCCCAAGGACCCACGUCCAGGAGCCAACAGCCUCUCUGUGCAAACCAGACAACCCUGCAGGAACUGUGCUUGAAGAAACCGUGGAAACUGCCCCCAACCCUCCCGUCUCUAUUUCUUUCUCUGUUUUAUUAUCUCAUUCUUGGCUGUGAGGUAAACAGGAGAAAAUGAGAAGGUGGUUCUGGAGGACCCGACCGAAUUUGCUUUCGUGACAGGGUCAAGCGCCCUUUCCUCGCCGGCCGCAGCCCUCACCAAAGGGGAUUUGGGGGCCUCCGGACAGGGGUCCUGAAGGUUUUGAAUUGUUCAAUCUCUGGGGGUACAGGAACCCCUGCAGGAGGUUUCAAAGGCAAGAGUUUCGCAGAGAGAAAAAAACCAUGAACUUUGCAGGUUGGUGGCGGAAUCUGGUGAUUUAAGAAAACGUGUUUAAGCCUCGGCCGGGCCGCGCCUGGGCUGUCUGCGGUGCUCUUCCGGAAUUCUCUACAAUAUCUGGAAGUGACCAAGAAAAUUCCAGAACCCGGAGGCUGCGCCGUGGAGAUAAACAUGGGCACCUGGGAAGGAACUGCUGGACCAGCAGAAUGAGGGGCCAACGCCAGGGGCAGCACUGCCCGGCCACAGAGGACUGUGGCCCCACAGAUGACACCCUCAGCUACCAGCUCCUGCAUCUGGAAGAUGACCAGGAGGAGGAA